Molecule: ribosomal RNA, 484 nt
Filed under: uncultured bacterium
Lineage: Bacteria
Description: partial 16S ribosomal RNA
Rfam family: Bacterial small subunit ribosomal RNA
Source: RNAcentral
AUUGAACGCUGGCGGCAGGCCUAACACAUGCAAGUCGAGCGGAUGAGGGGAGCUUGCUCCUGGAUUCAGCGGCGGACGGGUGAGUAAUGCCUAGGAAUCUGCCUGGUAGUGGGGGAUAACGUCCGGAAACGGGCGCUAAUACCGCAUACGACCUGAGGGAGAAAGUGGGGGAUCUUCGGACCUCACGCUAUCAGAUGAGCCUAGGUCGGAUUAGCUAGUUGGUGGGGUAAAGGCCUACCAAGGCGACGAUCCGUAACUGGUCUGAGAGGAUGAUCAGUCACACUGGAACUGAGACACGGUCCAGACUCCUACGGGAGGCAGCAGUGGGGAAUAUUGGACAAUGGGCGAAAGCCUGAUCCAGCCAUGCCGCGUGUGUGAAGAAGGUCUUCGGAUUGUAAAGCACUUUAAGUUGGGAGGAACGGCAGUAAGUUAAUACCUUGCUGUUUUGACGUUACCAGCAGAAUAAGCACCGGCUAACUUCGUG